GAUGAACGCUGGCGGCGUGCCUAAUACAUGCAAGUCGAGCGAACAGACGAGGAGCUUGCUCCUCUGACGUUAGCGGCGGACGGGUGAGUAACACGUGGAUAACCUACCUAUAAGACUGGGAUAACUUCGGGAAACCGGAGCUAAUACCGGAUAACAUGUUGAACCGCAUGGUUCAACAGUGAAAGACGGUCUUGCUGUCGCUUAUAGAUGGAUCCGCGCCGCAUUAGCUAGUUGGUAAGGUAACGGCUUACCAAGGCAACGAUGGGUAGCCGACCGGAGGGGGUGAUCGGCCACCCUGGAGCUGAGACACGGUCCAGACUCCUACGGGAGGCAGCAGUAGGGAAUCUUCGGCAAUGGGGGAAAGCCUGACGGAGCAACGCCGCGUGAGUGAAGAAGGUCUUCGGAUCGUAAAACUCUGUUAUUAGGGAAGAACAAAUGUGUAAGUAACUAUGCACGUCUUGACGGUACCUAAUCAGAAAGCCACGGCUAACUACGUG
Molecule: ribosomal RNA, 497 nt
Filed under: uncultured bacterium
Lineage: Bacteria
Description: partial 16S ribosomal RNA
Rfam family: Bacterial small subunit ribosomal RNA
Source: RNAcentral